This 361-nucleotide ribosomal RNA is filed under the name Streptomyces turgidiscabies. RNAcentral describes it as "bacterial SSU rRNA". It matches the Rfam family "Bacterial small subunit ribosomal RNA", at positions 565 to 922 of the family's 1533-position model. Lineage: Bacteria; Bacillati; Actinomycetota; Actinomycetes; Kitasatosporales; Streptomycetaceae. The record is from RNAcentral.
GAGCUCGUAGGCGGUCUGUCGCGUCGGAUGAUGAAAGCCCUGGGCUUAACCCCGGGUCUGCAUUCGAUACGGGCAGACUAGAGUGUGGUAGGGGAGAUCGGAAUUCCUGGUGUAGCGGUGAAAUGCGCAGAUAUCAGGAGGAACACCGGUGGCGAAGGCGGAUCUCUGGGCCAUUACUGACGCUGAGGAGCGAAAGCGUGGGGAGCGAACAGGAUUAGAUACCCUGGUAGUCCACGCCGUAAACGGUGGGAACUAGGUGUUGGCGACAUUCCACGUCGUCGGUGCCGCAGCUAACGCAUUAAGUUCCCCGCCUGGGGAGUACGGCCGCAAGGCUAAAACUCAAAGGAAUUGACGGGGGCCC